This 461-nucleotide ribosomal RNA is filed under the name Streptococcus intermedius. RNAcentral describes it as "bacterial SSU rRNA". It matches the Rfam family "Bacterial small subunit ribosomal RNA", at positions 28 to 465 of the family's 1533-position model. Lineage: Bacteria; Bacillati; Bacillota; Bacilli; Lactobacillales; Streptococcaceae. The record is from RNAcentral.
GACGAACGCUGGCGGCGUGCCUAAUACAUGCAAGUAGAACGCACAGGAUGCACCGUAGUUUACUACACCGUAUUCUGUGAGUUGCGAACGGGUGAGUAACGCGUAGGUAACCUGCCUGGUAGCGGGGGAUAACUAUUGGAAACGAUAGCUAAUACCGCAUAAGAACAUUUACUGCAUGGUAGACGUUUAAAAGGUGCAAAUGCAUCACUACCAGAUGGACCUGCGUUGUAUUAGCUAGUAGGUGAGGUAACGGCUCACCUAGGCGACGAUACAUAGCCGACCUGAGAGGGUGAUCGGCCACACUGGGACUGAGACACGGCCCAGACUCCUACGGGAGGCAGCAGUAGGGAAUCUUCGGCAAUGGGGGGAACCCUGACCGAGCAACGCCGCGUGAGUGAAGAAGGUUUUCGGAUCGUAAAGCUCUGUUGUUAAGGAAGAACGAGUGUGAGAAUGGAAAGUUC